UUGUGCGGGUGAUGUCCAGAUACUCACCCCUGCUGAACCGAGAUCAGCAGGGGAGGGCAUGGGCACUACCAGCCUUCCCCUCCCUGCCCUCCAUUUUCUCUUGCACUUACCAGCACUUACUCAUUUGAGGCCUGCAGGUUUUUUUCCCUCCCUCCCCUCUUGGAACAGCCCAUGGAGGGCUUUGGGUAAGGGAAGGAGGAUUUCUUCUCCAAGACCUCCUAUUGGUUCUUCCAGGGAAGAGGAAGAGAGGAAAAGGCUCCAGGCCUGCUUGGAAGGCUUCCUCCGGUAUGUUGAGAGGGAAAUUGGGGGCAGGAGGGAGUUCAGACAGGAGGGAGGGAAGGAAAACAUGUGUUUUCCAUGCCUGCAGGGAUACACAGUCAUGGAAAGGUGUGUGUUUUUCAGGUGGAAUCAGGUUUAAAGGGCAGCUUUUAAAUAUGUGUUUUCCAGUCUUUAACCCAAUUCCUCCUGAUUCCUCCUGCAUUUUGGCUAAACGUCUUAGCCACACACACCCUUUUAACCCGAUUAAACCCUGUUUAUAAUGCAUGUGUAGAAGGGCUCACAGUCGGUUUGCCUCGUUUUCUAAAUUUCUUUGCAGUUUCCCAUUCCAAGCACAGGAUGUUUCCUGGUUAAUUUGUCCUAUCUGAAUCAAGUAACAGGGACACCAAAUUUGGUAGCUCCUCCUUACAUUAUAUUACUACGGUAAUCUACCCUUUCCUCUUUAUUUCAGCUUUCAGCUCUUUUCCAUUAGAGAAACAGUGCCCUGUUGUUUUGGAACCAGAGAAAGUAUGCAGGUUUUGCCCAGCCCUAUUCAGAUGUUCCCGCUAUUUCCCAAGAUCCUGUAUUUGAUGCCUGUAUUUGAAGCUAAUAUCCUCCUGAAUAAAGAGCACUGUAUGAAUUUCCCAGUGAAGAUUUAUUGUGGAGACCCUGCCCUGUGUGCUAGUGAGCAUAUUUUGUCACUAAAAUUAGAACAGGGGUUGGGAACUGCCAUCAGCAGAGCAAAACUAAAUUCUCUUAGGUAUUCUUACAUCACCCCUCUCCACCUCCCCUAUCUUUCUCUGACAUGGAUUCAGUUAAAAAAACUGACUGUAAUCCGAACAGCAAUCAAAAGUCUUCUCAAGAAAGAAGCAUUCGACAUUUCGACAUUUCCUUCCAGCAGCUCGCUUGCUGCCCACAGGUGCUGACAUUCAUGUAUUCACUCUUUCUGUUUUAACAUGUGAAGAAAAUGUUGAGACUGAACAAAAUGUGGUAGAUUACUGAAUGAGAACAAAUGUGAAGGAUUCCAGAAUAUGAAUUCAGCGGAAGUUCUGAAAAGUCCAUUAGGCAUUACAUUAAAAAUCCUUUAAUAAUGCCUGACAUUUUUAAAAUGAAAAGCCAAUAAAAGAGGGUACAUUUGGGAUAAAGGAAAGAUAUAGCAGCUUGUGGAUGGCAUCUUUAGCUCCAACUAGAGGGGCCGCAGUGGCGCAGAAGAUCGAACCACUAAGCUGUAGAAUUAGCUGACCAGAAGGUCGGCAGUUCAAAUCCGCAAGAUGGGGUGAGCUCUUGUUGUUAGCACCAGCUUCUGGCAACGUAGCAAUUCAAAAACAUGCAAAUGUGAGUAUAUCAGUAGGUACUGCUUUGGUGGGAAGGUAAUGGCACUCCAUGCAGUCAUGCAGCCACAUGACUUAGAAAGUGUCUACAGACAACGUCGGCUCUUCAGCUUAGAAAUGGUAAUGAGCACCAUCCCUAAGUUGGAAUCGACUAGACUUAAUGUCUUUACCUUUACCUUAGAGGAAGCCUAUUUAAUCAAUUGGUAUAUAAUGAGUUGACAAAUGUAUUUGAUUUAAUGAAUCUAUUCUAGCCAGGAAUAAAAAUAGGAUUUAGGCCAUUGUUUGUAUGUGUGCGCACACAUGUACAUUACUAGCAUUGAAUUCUUUUCCUAGUAGUUUCUUUCUGAUCAAUAGUACAUCCCAGCUAUUUUCUAACUGUUCCAAAUUCAUAUUUACAAGGAUAGCGCUUUGUCAAGAACCCCAUGGGGUGUGAAUAAGCAGUGAGAGGAUUCUAAGUGGAAGAGCAGUUGGUAAAGAACUCCUUCCCAAACACUCAAAAUCAUGGCCUCCCAUGAUUCCUCUCAUUUUCAUCUUUGAAAAAUGAGUUUAAUUACAUGCCUUUGUGUGUAGUUGGCUGGUCAGGUCUCUCUUUGGAAGCGCUACCUCUUAGGAAGAAAAAGCAAUCGUUAAGUGUUUACCACUCGGCCAAAAAGAUGUCUAGAUUGUCCUUCUUCCGUGUUAAAUAUGCAGAGUGAGCUGCAUGACAUCUCCAGUUUGGAAACAAAUGAGAAAUCUCAGAGGGAUUUGAGGGUCAGCGGAAGAUUUUCUGUUAUCCAUCGCCAAGGACGAUGUGUCAAGUGGUGUAUUUAUCUGCAAAGUGGAAGGGAAAUUAACAGUUCCUCAAGCAGUUCACCUGGCAUGUGCUGUGAGCAGUACAAAUGAGUGAUGCCUCACAAUAAUUACUGAGCCCAACUUUUGCAGUUCGCAAGUUACUAGCAUAUUCAUUUCACUUGUUAACGGAUUUGUUAGCUGUCCAGAGUGCACAAGGCAGAACAGAAAGCUUGUGCUGCUGUUCCUAACAUUUCUUAACAAGCUUUCCAUUUGCCUCAUGAAUGCAGAGUUGUCAGGCUACCGUGAAUCACUUUGCAGACAAUAUUAUUCACAGUACUUGCAUCUUAGUGUGUUAAAAAAUAAUGUUCUGGUGGGCUCCGCUCAUAACACUAUCUGUUUAUAGUCUGCAUACGGGACAAAAGCUGCCAAUCCUUUGUCAAAGUUGGUAACAAUUUGGGAUGUUGUUUUAUUCUCUCUGGGAAAAUGUGAAUUUAGCAUGCAGAUUUAUAAACCUUUUUGCAGUUAGUUAAAGAGACAGAUUCAUAUUGGGAUUGGUACAUUCAUUAUCACAUGGUGAUAUGUUCUCCCUUCUAUGCUGCCUUCCUGCUCUAUGAUAUACAUAGCAUGCCUUCCAGGGUUUUUUUAAUCACAAUUCUUCAAUUAUGGUAUCAUGAAGACAACAAAGGAAAGAAAAAUUUGGAGUGGGCAGUUUGCUUGUGAAUAAAGGAGAAGAGGAGCAGGUAGAGCAGGAGAGUCAGCCCCACUAAUGUCCCUGACUGCUGGUAUAUCACAACUGCAGCAGAAGGGACCUGUUUCAAAGAAGGCAGUAAUUGCAGAGUGGUAACUUCCUUAAGUUAGCUUACUUUAGAAACCAAGCCUACACAGGGAAACUGUAUAACUAGUUUCUAAAAAAGCACCAAUUUAUUUUACACAUUUGGCAUCACUUUUAACUCAGCCCAGAAAAAACAAAGGUUGAGGUGGGAUAAUAUAGAUGAAGGAUAAGAACAACACAGAUUAGGUGAGUUAGAGUUGUUAGAGGCUUCCACUGAGUUGUUAUGUGGGAUGUGGCAUGUCAGCUGUAAUUGGUGAUAUGUACUAGGAGGACAGUUGAGAGGGAGUAUAUUGAUCUCACCCACCCGCAUAAUUGAAGUUAUCAUACUUUCCCAAUGGUGUUCCCAAGUAUGCAACUUUACACACUCCUAUGGAUUAGUAGAGCUGUACCUGCAGUAGGCCAACAUGCCUAUCAAGAAUGAUGUUCAAUGUGUUGUUGAAGGCUUUCACAGCCAGAAUUACUGGGGUAUUGAAUGUUUUCUGGACUGUAUGGCCGUGUUCUAGCAACAUUUUCCCUGGAGAUUUCACCUGCCUCUACAGCUGGCAUCUUCAGAAGAAUGACGUUAAUUAUGGGAGGAAGGAAUUCGAAGAUACAUGUCUGUGUGAAAUAUAUGGGGUCUCUCUAUAGCAGAGAGAGACAACCAUCCAAGGCCCAUGAUGCCAUAUAUGCCACUCACUGCACCUAAGAAGACCACUCAUCCCUGAAAUCCCAACUAGGUUUUUUUAAACUAUCUUAAAAUUUAAAAUAUUUUAUCCCAAAUUCUGCAGUCUGGAAGCAAAAUUUCACCAUGCCCCCCUAUUCCAGCUAUUUUUACACUCAGCUGUUUUUAUGAACAAGGAAGUGAAAGCAUAACUCGUUUUCAGUGUUUCCUGGUUCUUCUGGGCGUAAAACAGCCUGUCCCUCUCUCUAAAAUGCGGGGAAACAUUCACCACAACACCAUGAGAGGCAUUUGAGGAAAUGAACGCUAUUAAAAAUAAAUUAUUUUGGGAGGAGCUAGGGAGAACGCAGCUGAAAUCCUGUUGGGCAUUUACAAAAACAUAAUCUACAUCCAUAAGUGUUAUGUGUUACUGAUCCCUAUGUAGCCCUUAGUUUGCUGGUAAGUAGCCGCUUGGAUUGAUGAAGAUUCACUCUCCUAUCCAUGAAGAAAUUACCACCUAAUUUUCCCACCCUUUCCACACAGAAGUGGGAAUUUGCCCAAUAUAUUUGGGCCCCACUGUAAUGAGCUUUUCCUUUAGCAAAUGGUUGCUAAAUUCUUUGCUAACAUCAUGGCCAAAUGUUAAUAGUUAUUAGGUAGCAAUGGAAAGGAUUAAUUUGUAUUUAGUGACUUUGUUAGACACCUUCUGGUUUAGCCUGACAGUUGGCACCUGGAAAAAGACAGGAAGGCUGAGAACCACCUGAUGAAGGAAACCUUUCAUUUUAGCUACCUAAUUGUACCAUUCUCAUAAUAGGGAAGACAGAUGGGACACACAUGCACACUUUGAUUUUUGGAUUUCUUCUGCACCAUGUAACACCCAUUUGUCUUUGGGGGGACAGGAGGCACCAUAGCUAGCUGUGAGGCAGGGUUAAUUAGAUGUAGGAUAGACUGAGCAGAUCUAGUUGCAUUGAGUCCAACUAUAUCAUAAGAUGUGAGGAGAUCCCAUCCAAGAAUAAUCUGGAAUGCCUCUCUGUUUUAUGUUGUUUCUUAUAUGUUUUAUUCAGUUGUAUUUUAUAUUGUGUUUUAUUUCAUGUUCUGCUUUUUAGGCACCUUGUGCCUUGUGUAAGCCACCCCAAGUCCCUUCAGGGAGAUGGUGGCAGGAUACAAGAAUAAAGUUGUCAUUGUUAUUAUUAUUAUUAUUAUUAUUAUUAUUAUUAUUAUUGACACAACAACAUUGUAUGACACAGCAAACAAGAUAGAUAUGCUGGGUUUCGUAUCACAAAAUCACAAGUCGAACACUUCCCAAGUGUCUAGGACUGUGUGAUGUAUUUUCGGAUGAUGCGCGCAGAUCCCAGUAGGGUGGCCUUUUGCAGCUGGCAGAUCAUAAUUUUGUCAAUGUCUAUUGUUUCCAAAUGCCGGCUGAGAUCUUUUGGCAUGGCACCCAAUGUGCCGAUCACCACUGGGACCACCUGUACUGGUUUCUGCCAGAGUCUUUGAAGUUCAAUCUUAAGGUCCUGAUAGCGGCUGAGUUUUUCCUGUUGUUUUUCGUCAAUGCGACUGUCACCUGGGAUGGCGACAUCAGUGAUCCAAACCAGACUGUGAUGUCUGGUGUGUUGUGUUACAGAACUUUGUCAGUCUGGAUUCGGAAGUCCCACAGUAUCUUUGCAUGCUCGUUUUCCAAUACUUUUGCAGGUUUGUGAUCCCACCAGUUCUUUACUGCUGGGAGGUGGUACUUGAGGCAGAAGUUCCAAUGAAUCAUUUGGGCCAUAUAGUUGUGCCUCUGAUUGUAGUCUGUCUGUGCGAUUUUCUUAC
This is a long non-coding RNA of Anolis carolinensis (green anole), 5635 nucleotides long. The record is from Ensembl. Lineage: Eukaryota; Metazoa; Chordata; Lepidosauria; Squamata; Anolidae.